UAAUUUAAAUCUUAUUUAGUAAAGUAUUUCAUUUACAUUGAAAUUUUAUUUGUGCAAUUCAAAUUAAAUUAA
Molecule: transfer RNA, 72 nt
Filed under: Arachnocampa flava (prey-luring glowworm)
Lineage: Eukaryota; Metazoa; Arthropoda; Insecta; Diptera; Keroplatidae
Description: tRNA-Val
Rfam family: tRNA
About the family: Transfer RNA (tRNA) molecules are approximately 80 nucleotides in length. Their secondary structure includes four short double-helical elements and three loops (D, anti-codon, and T loops). Further hydrogen bonds mediate the characteristic L-shaped molecular structure. tRNAs have two regions of fundamental functional importance: the anti-codon, which is responsible for specific mRNA codon recognition, and the 3' end, to which the tRNAs corresponding amino acid is attached (by aminoacyl-tRNA synthetases). tRNAs cope with the degeneracy of the genetic code in two manners: having more than one tRNA (with a specific anti-codon) for a particular amino acid; and 'wobble' base-pairing, i.e. permitting non-standard base-pairing at the 3rd anti-codon position.
Source: RNAcentral